GUCAGUGUCUCUUAUCCCUCAUCUGUUGCGCUUCAGGCUUAAAGAAGCUAAAGCAAAACAAUGUCUGACAAACCUGAUGUCAGUGAGGUUUCUCAUUUCGACAAGAACAAGCUGAAGAAGACCGUAACUCAUGAGAAAAACACUCUUCCCACCAAAGAGACCAUUGAGCAGGAGAAGAAAUGUGAGACUUAAAUUAGCCAUGUUGGAUCUUCACCAAGGACUGAAUUGCAGAUCAUGUGACUUUUUAAAAAGAUGGCUCUUCCUACCACCAGUUACUAUGGCCAUGCAGGCUGAAGUUGGAAAUUGACCCAUGUGUUAUCAGAUGAUAUCGACGAUUCUGAUAAAAAAAAAAUGCUGUAAAAUCAUGGAUAUUUAACUUUGUAUAACUGUCUGAUCUGCUCUCAUUUUGACCUUUGGUGAAAUAAACCUUUGAAAUGAA
Molecule: long non-coding RNA, 439 nt
Organism: Danio rerio (zebrafish)
Lineage: Eukaryota; Metazoa; Chordata; Actinopteri; Cypriniformes; Danionidae
Gene: tmsb5
Product: thymosin beta 5
Source: RefSeq, marked predicted